Molecule: long non-coding RNA, 32950 nt
Filed under: Malus domestica (apple)
Lineage: Eukaryota; Viridiplantae; Streptophyta; Magnoliopsida; Rosales; Rosaceae
Description: long non-coding RNA (MDOM_LNC015928)
Source: RNAcentral
UAUAUUAUACAUAAAACUGCAAAUUCCUCCUGUAUCUUUUUCUCUCUGUCCUCCCCAUGACCUCCCUCUCUGGUCUGAAUUUUUUUGUAAUAUCUACAAACUUACCUCGUAGCUUCCACUUGUUUAACAGUAAUAGAUCUCUCUCUCUCUCUCUCUCUCUCUCUCUCUCUCUCGCGCGCGCGCACGCUCACUCACACACACACACACACACACGUGUUUGCGUGUGUGUACGCCUUGUUAUGGGACCAUUUCCAAGUUGAUCUUGAACCGCCCCAUGCAGAGGUGGUUUUCUUUGUGUCACCAUCUGAUUGGUAUAACACUCCUGUAGCCAAGGACUGCACCACAAAGGAACCCAAUUAUUGUUGAUCGGUUUGUGUUUGCAUGUAUAUAAGAAGAUGAUUGACCAUUACUUACCUCUCUGAUAUCCCGUUUUAUCUGCGCCAUAGACUUUUAGAUAUGAAGCUUCUAACCCUGCCAAUCAACCUUGAUCUUAGGAUGUUAUUAUGGAGAUCGUUGGGAAUCAUGGUGGCUGACUUUAGCCGUAGGCGUAAAAAAUAGAAACUGGGUUUUUUUAUUCAGUUACUAGUAGUUUUACUAUUUUCUUGUCUAUAAUUCAACCUUCUUUUUUCUUAUUCAUACAAGAAUAAUUCUUAUUUAUUCUGAUUGAAAAAAAAUGGGAAUAGAUCUAAUUUUCUUCGUUAUAAUUCUUUGUGCUGGAAGUUCCCCUUGCAGUAUUCGUAUACUCUAUAAUUUUCUCCAUGUUGAAGUUCCCUUUGCAGAUCUGAACUGAUAUUCUUGUUUGUUUCAUUACGAGUCAUGCCAUAAAAAAGUUGUUAUCAAGAACUGAAUUUCCUGCAUUCUGGUUCAUGAUUUCUAUUUUGGGUUUCAGUUGGGCUGCAGCUUCCGGCCAGGUUUCCCUCAAUGCAAUGCUACUCCCAGCUGCUCUCUACUUUUGGCAAAUACCUCAUUUUAUGGCCCUAGCAUACUUGUGCCGUAAUGACUAUGCGCCGGAGGGUAUGAACUUUUGGGUCUUUCACGGUCUUACUUUAAUAUUUAUGUCAUCAGUUGAAAAGAUUCAACUAGUGCACCUGGAAAUUGUUUCAGAACAGGAGUUUUAUUUCCUGCCUUUGCUUUCAUGGGCCUUGUAUCUGUUCAUGGAAAGAAUUAAUCAAUAUCCAAUUAUGCCCUAUGAGUUCAAGGCAGAAAGAAUUAUAGUUGACAGAUUUUAUACUUUUGAGAAUGAAUGUUGUGAGCAGCCUGUUUUGUUAUCAAUUUAAUUCCCCUUUUAAAUGAUUAGCAUGAGAUUUUAGGAAUUUGCUGUCAAGCUGAUUGUAGGUGGGAUCUUUGUAUGUUGAUGGUGGUCCACAGAUUAUUGAUGCAGUUCACUUGGCUCCUUCGUGUCUAAUCCUUUUUCGUUUGUUGCAUUUUCAGAUUUAGGAUGUUCUCCCUUGCUGAUGCUUCUGGUCAGAGAACAGCCUCGGUAGCUUUAAGGAAUUGCAUAUACAUGAUCCCUUUGGGGUUCUUGGCCUAUGACUGUAAGUCCAGGACUCACAAACCAUCUUUCUUUUUCUAAUCGUGUUUCUAUUUGUAUUUUUGUAUUCCUGUUGGUGGUUGUCUUCUUGUAAUGCUCUUUGGGCCUUUUUCUUUUUCUUCUCGCUUUUCAACCAAUGUUCAACCAAUCUUAUUUCUUAGUGACAGAAGGUUUUCAGUCAUAUAAGUGCCAGCAUUGGUCUUCGUUAAAUUGAAAAUAAGUGAUUUAGACUUACAUUUACCAUUGGGAAAAAACACAAGAAAUGUCUCUCUUUUCUUUUUUUUCUUCCAUGAAAUAGAUUGGUAUCUGGCUAUCGUGUCUGAUAUGGCUGUUUUCAGAUUGCAAUAUGAGUCUUUAGCUAUUUGCAUUUUCCCAAGACUCUUGGUGGGUUUAACAAAGCUGACGAGUUAUAUUUGUUACUCAUGGUUUUGGGUGAUUUCAUGUCGCUGGUCCUCUCGUACAUUGACUUUAAUAUGUGGCUCCUUCUACCUGUUAUCAAUUGUAUGAUACUGUGGGGACAAUUCUUGAUCAUCGUUGUACGUGAUUGAUUAAUCGGACAUGUCAUCUUUGUUAUCACGCAACUCUUCUUGGUAGUGGAAUGACCAAAAUAUUCCAUGCUUGAGAUGCAACCUUUGGCCUUUGAUCACUAAGCAGGGAAUAAUUAAUGUUGGGGAUUACAUCUCAUUCCACCCGUUUCUUCUGUCUGCAGGGGGUAUGACGUCUGGAUGGUUUUGUCUUGAAUCUACUCUUCUUACUCUCGCGAUAGCUGCAACAUCAUUUUCGUUCUAUCGAGACCGUACUACACAUAAAGCAAGGAAGAUGUUUCAUGCCAGCCUUCUUUACCUUCCUGUAUUUAUGUCGGGGAUUAUGUUCCACCGCAUCGUUGAUAAUCAACAAAGCCUUUCUGAAGAGAAUUUAGAGAGUAGUGUUGAGGUUUCAUUGUCCUCACAAGACGGCAAUGUCAAACGGAAGAGUAGGUCGAGGAAUUCCACAGAUGGCUCCCAAGUUCGCCCACCUGUAUCGUACGCCUCUAUUGCACCGUUUCCUUUCCUCCCAGUUCCUUCGUAUGCCGAUCCAUGAUAUGUUUCUGGGUCCCUUGUUUUUUACAACGAAACGUCGAAAGCUGCCCAACAAAGUAUUUUUGUUCAAAGAGCAAUGUCUUUCCCCAAGCAAACGUCUCCCGGAAAGGUCGAAAACCUGUAUUCUUUUGCAAAUUGCAAGUUUCUUGUUGGGAAUGUAUUUUUGCUUUGUAGUGUUGGAGGUUUAGGUGUUUGAGUUGGUAAUGCAUUGUUGAUUUAAAGUAUACGAAUAAGGCGGCCAUCUGUUCAAUGAUUAUGGAAGAGCAGCUAUUGAUUUUUUGCAGAGAUAUAUUUACAAAGUGAUUUAUAAUAUGAACGCUACUAAUCAUGAUCGAGUUGCUAAGCCCCUGUUAUAUUGAGAUAGCUCCUAGACUCCGCGGUUGCUGGUUGAAUCACGGGUUUGUGCACUUCUUAGAUCAUUCGGUGGUCGUUUACUAAUUAGGUGAUUGCCCUACAGUUGUUUUUGCAAAGACAGGUCCAGUCGUCUUUGUGUUCUUAAACUUGAGUACAGGCGAUCGCUCUAUGGUCGUUUUUGCGUUCACCUUCCAUACCUAUUUAAGCGCGAGUCCCAUUUGCAUCACAUAUGGGAUUGGAGGACUUCCAAGAACUAACUUGCCAUAACUGUCUCUCGUUCAUGAUUGUAAGUAAGAUCAUGUUCAAAGAAGAUGUCAAAAAUGUCACAUAGACAUAUAAGAGUAAUAAUUGACGUAUCAUUUACUCCAACUGAGAUGCCAAAUAUGACAUGGAAAAAAAGGCUAAGCUGAUAUGGACAGAGAUGUCAAAUUUAAGUUGCCUUCAAAUUUGAUUUUUUUCUAUUUCCAAAGGUAUUCCACUUGUCUUACCUUAAAUGAAGCAAUAAAUUAUAUCAUUUUUAAACCAACAACAACCCAACUUUUAUUAUUUUUGUUUAAAAAAACAUAAAUGAAGCAAUAAAUUUUGGCAUAUCGGGUGGAAUGAAAAUAUUGACAAUAUGUCAAAUUGCCAAUUCAGCCAUCAAAUUGAAAUUUGAUGUUUUGAAUUUGAAAUGUGUGUACAUUUGGCCACGUGUUACCAUCACUGGCUCAAUUAUCAAUCCUAUUUACAUUUAAUUUGUAUGGAUGUAGGGGCCAAAUGUUUAUUUCAAGCCCUUCAUUUCCAAAUUCCAAAUCUUUAAUAUUAAAAGUUUGAAAAAUAUUCAGCUACGGCUUCCCUCACAACCACAUGACUUUCCUUGUGGAUCAAGUUAGAACCAUCACUGCCUGGAAUUUAUUUUGGGGAUGGACCAUCACUUUUGUCUUAUUUCCCUUGACUAACUUAUAGACUUUGUCAAACGUCUAUGUGGGGCUGGAUGUAGAAAAAUGAAGCUCCUUUCAUAAAAUUCCAAGGUUGAGCAAGAACUUCUCCAAUUAUAUGUUUCAUUGGGAAAAAAAACCAUCUUAAGACAAAAAAAAAAGAAAUAAGAUUGGCUAUAGAAUAUUAUGCAAGACUAAUGUUGAGCUGUCAAUUGUUAUGAAUCAAAUUACUUGAAAUGCACAUAACGUGUCUUUUAAGUUAUGAAUCGAAUCACAAACUAAUUGGCUCCUAGUUCAAUUUAGUUUGCAAUUCUCACAUGGAUAUGUUUACGAAAAUGUAUCAAACACUACGAAAAUGAAAGAAUAGUAAAUAAUGUUAAAUACUUAGAAAAUAUCCAACAACAAAGUAAUAACUUGAAAGAAAUGCAAAUUUGAUAGAUUUAUAUUUGUUGCUUUCUGGCAAUUUGGUUUGGGAUAUGGAAUGGUUUGAUUCGUGUCGUUGUGGUGAUAUACCUAAUAUCUUAAUGGAUCGUGUCGUAUAACACCCAUUAAAAUGAAGCGAUAAUAUGAUCCAACACAAACCCAACCCUUUAAUAUUAAUGGGGUAAUAUGCCCUAACUCAUUACCUGUUAAAGAAAAUAUAUUCUAGUUAACAAAUAAUAAAAUGAAAAAUGUAAUAAUAAAAACAUAAAUGAGAUGAAAGAAUCCAACUGUAAGGAUUUAAUCUCACUUAUAUGGCUAGUGUUGUAGUAAGGUUUUUUAAUUAAUGUAGAAUUGUGAAAUAUAUAUAUAUAUAUAUAUAUAUAUAAAGAGAUACAAAGCUCGUAAUAACAAGCUCUACAAAUUUUGUGAAGAUGUCAACUUUGAAAUUCAUCACCAUAAUCCCAUAAACCAUUGAUUUAAAUUUAAUCGUUGAUUGUCAUUAACGUUUAUGCUCUAUUCUUCUCAUGGUAUUUCGUUUUUUUUUCCCUUCAUAUUUUCAUUUUUGAAAACAUGAUCUUCUAGCGGAUGCAAAAAGAUAAAUGAUUCAGAUCGUUGAUAUCACUUUCAGAUUUUACAGUUGGUGAAAAUAUUGCUCAGAGUUUAUAAAGUCUCUAGAAACUAUACAAUAUCGACUCAUAUUUGAGUUAACCGUAAACGUUGGAACGUGAUAUCAAUGAUCCAAACCAUUCAUUUUUCUGCAUCCGCUAAAAGAUCAUGUUUUCAAAAAAGAAAAUCUGAAAAAUGAAAUUUGGUGAGAAGAAUAAAGCAUAAACAACAAUCAAAGGUUUAAUAUAAAUCUAGGUUUUUGGAUUGCGGUGUCGAAUUUCAAAGUUGACCCCUUCAAGAAAGUUGUAAAGUUUGUCACUACGAGUGAUUGUGUGUAUAUAUAUAUAUAUAUAUUUUUUUUUUUAAACAUUUUUCACUACAUUAAUUAUUAUGAAUUUUUAUUAAUUUGCACUCAAAUAAUAAACACUAUUAAUGAGGCCUUAGAACGUUUUAAAAAUCUAAACGACGAUGUAACUAUUUUCUAAGCUUAGAGAAUGCAACCUCGAGCGUUUAUACUUUUACAUUAAUAAUAUGUUUUUUUUUUAAUUUUGAACUCCCCCUUAAAACACUGUUCAUGAGGGAUUGUAGGGUUUUAAAAAUCCAAACGAUGAUGUACCCAUCGCCAAAUCGUGCGAUCACGAGCGUUUGCAUAUUUUUUCACACUUGUAAAUCAAUUAUUAUGUUUAAUGUGCUUUAGUAUUUUUAAAUUGCUUUGGUAUCUUUAAUGUGCUUUGAAACUUUUUAAUCUUACUUAUGUGAGAUUAAAUACUAUGGCUAUUGUAGUAAGAUUUUUUAGUAGUUUAAAACUAUUAACUACCUUUUUUUCUUAUCAGGUCGAAACAGGUCAUCCACAGGUAAAUAUUAUGAGAGAUUAACGGGUUCUUAAUGUGUGACCGAUAACGACCCGAUUAGUUAACUCGUUGAAGCAAAACCCAUUAUUUUCUUGUCGUUUCGAAUAAAAUUAACAGGAUGUGCAAAAAAUUGUCAUGUCUAUGCUCCAAUUUGGACCUCCCUUUUCUCUGAUACAUAAUUUAUCUUCUAGACUACUAUACAUCACACAAAAUGCGCAUUUCAAAGAACUUUAUCGGAGUUGUUUUAUUUCUCAGGUUACUAAGUGUCUCUCAUGACUUUUCUUUGGGGAUGAAGUUGAACUUUCACUGCCUGGAAUUAGUUUUGGGGAUGGACCAUCAUUUGUGUCUUUUAUCUCUUGACUGACUUAUAAAUUUUUCCACAACGACUUUGUCUACCGUCUUUGUGGCGCUGGAUGCAGAAGAAUGAACCUCCUUUCAUAAAUUUCAAAGGUUGAGCAAAUUCUCCUCCAAUUAUAUUUUGACGGGAAAAAUAAUCAUCUUAAGACAAAAAAAAAAAAAAGAGAAAAGAAAUAAGACAUGUAGAAUAUUAUUCCUCGUGAGGUAUAUAAUUAUAUAUGCAAGUGGUAAAUUGUCUUGAUGGAUAAGGUCUUUCUCUUUGACCAACGAAGAGAAAGCUUUGUUUACUCUGAUACAUAAUUUAUCUUCUAGAUGACUACUCAUUUAUCUCACAGUGUGUAUUUCAGAUGACCUUAUAGGAGUUAUAUUUCUCAGGUUACUAACCAUCUCUCGCAAACAAGGUAUGUUCUUCAAGGUAUGUGGUAUGAAUGGGGUUAUGAUCCAAGUUAAGUUCUUUAAUAUGCCUUAUUUUAUAAGGGACUUCAAAUAUUUUCUUUAUGUAUGACAAAUGAUAACCACAAGCUGAUUGGCUCUUAGUUCAACUCAAUUUGGAAAUGAUGUUAAAUACUUAGAAAAUAUCCAACUACAAAGUAAUAACUUGAAAGAAUGAAAAUUUUAAGAGAUCAAGCAAGUUAAACCCAUUUUGGCAAACUUUCUUGCUAGUCGAGCAAGGAUGAGGAUGACGAUGUAACCAUUUUCUAAGCUUAGAGAAUGCAACCUCGAGCGUUUAUACUUUUACAUUAAUAAUAUGUUUUUUUUUUAAUUUUGAACUCCCCCUUAAAACACUAUUCAUGAGGGUUUGUAGGGUUUUAAAAAUCCAAACGAUGAUGCACCCAUCACCAAAUCGUGCGAUCACGAGUGUUUGCAUAUUUUUUCACACUUGUAAAUCAAUUAUUAUGAAAUUUUAAUGUGCUUUAGUAUUUUCUAAGCUUAGAGAAUGCAACCUCGAGCGUUAUACUUUUACAUUAAUAAUAUGUUUUUUUUUUUUAAAUUUUGAACUCCCCCUUAAAACACUGUUCAUGAGGGUUUGUAGGGUUUUAAAAAUCCAAACGAUGAUGUACCCAUCGCCAAAUCGUGCGAUCACGAGCGUUUGCAUAUUUUUUCACACUUGUAAAUCAAUUAUUAUGUUUAAUGUGCUUUAGUAUUUUUAAAUUGCUUUGGUAUCUUUAAUGUGCUUUGAAACUUUUUAAUCUUACUUAUGUGAGAUUAAAUACUAUGGCUAUUGUAGUAAGAUUUUUUAGUAGUUUAAAACUAUUAACUACCUUUUUUUCUUAUCAGGUCGAAACCGGUCAUCCAUAGGUAAAUAUUAUGAGAGAUUAACGGGUUCUUAAUGUGUGACCGAUAACGACCCGAUUAGUUAACUCGUUGAAGCAAAACCCAUUAUUUUUCUUGUCGUUUCGAAUAAAAUUAACAGGAUGUGCAAAAAAUUGUCAUGUCUAUGCUCCAAUUUGGACCUCCCUUUUCUCUGAUACAUAAUUUAUCUUCUAGACUACUAUACAUCACACAAAAUGCGCAUUUCAAAGAACUUUAUCGGAGUUGUUUUAUUUCUCAGGUUACUAAGUGUCUCUCAUGACUUUUCUUUGGGGAUGAAGUUGAACUUUCACUGCCUGGAAUUAGUUUUGGGGAUGGACCAUCAUUUGUGUCUUUUAUCUCUUGACUGACUUAUAAAUUUUUCCACAACGACUUUGUCUACCGUCUUUGUGGCGCUGGAUGUAGAAGAAUGAACCUCCUUUCAUAAAUUUCAAAGGUUGAGCAAAUUCUCCUCCAAUUAUAUUUUGACGGGAAAAAUAAUCAUCUUAAGACAAAAAAAAAAAAAAGAAGAGAAAAGAAAUAAGACAUGUAGAAUAUUGUUCCUCGUGAGGUAUAUAAUUAUAUAUGCAAGUGUUAAAUUGUCUUGAUGGAUAAGGUCUUUCUCUUUGACCAACGAAGAGAAAGCUUUGUUUACUCUGAUACAUAAUUUAUCUUCUAGAUGACUACUCAUUUAUCUCACAAUGUGUAUUUCAGAUGACCUUAUAGGAGUUAUAUUUCUCAGGUUACUAACCAUCUCUCGCAAACAAGGUAUGUUCUUCAAGGUAUGUGGUAUGAAUGGGGUUAUGAUCCAAGUUAAGUUCUUUAAUAUGCCUUAUUUUAUAAGGGACUUCAAAUAUUUUCUUUAUGUAUGACAAAUGACAAAUGAAACACAAGCUGCUGAUUGGCGCUUAGUUCAACUCAGUUUGGAAAAUGAUGUUAAAAAAUACUUAGAAAAUAUCCAACUACAAAGUAAUAACUUGAAAGAAUGAAAAUUUUAAGAGAUCAAGCAAGUUAAACCCAUUUUGGCAAACUUUCUUGCUAGUCGAGCAAGGAUGAGGAUGACGAUGUAACCAUUUUCUAAGCUUAGAGAAUGCAACCUCGAGCGCUUAUACUUUUACAUUAAUAAUAUGUUUUUUUUUUAAUUUUGAACUCCCCCUUAAAACACUAUUCAUGAGGGUUUGUAGGGUUUUAAAAAUCCAAACGAUGAUGCACCCAUCACCAAAUCGUGCGAUCACAAGUGUUUGCAUAUUUUUUCACACUUGUAAAUCAAUUAUUAUGAAAUUUUAAUGUGCUUUGGUAUUUUUAAAUUGCUUUCGUAUGUUUAAUGUGCUUUGAAAUUUUUUAAUCUUACUUAUGUGAGAUUAAAUAUUAUGGCUAUUGUAGUAAGGUUUUUUUAGUGGUUUAAAAUUAUUAACUAGCUUUUUUCUUAUCGGGUCGAAACUGGUCAUACACGGGUAAAUACUAUGAGAGAUUAAUGGAUUCUUAACGUAUGACCUAUAACGACCCAAUUAGUUAACUCGUUGACCCAAAACCCGUUAUUUUCUUAUCGUUUCGAAUAAAAUUAACAAGCCGUUUAAGAAAUUGUCAUGUCUAUGCUCCAAUUUGGACCUCCCUUUUCUCUAAUACAUAAUUUGUCUUCUAGACUACUAUACAUCACACAAAAUGCGCAUUUCAAAUAACUUUAUCGGAGUUGUUUUAUUUCGCAGGUUACUAAAUGUCUCUCAUGACUUUUCUUUGGGGAUGAAGUUGAACUAUCAUUGCCUGGAAUUAGUUUUGGGGAUGGACCAUCAUUUUUGCCUUUUAUCUCUUGACUGACUUAUAAAUUUUUCCACAACGACAUUGUCUACCGUCUUUGUGGCGCUAGAUGUGGAAGAAUGAAGCUUCUUUCAUAAAUUUCAAAGGCUGAGCAAAAUCUCCUCCAAUUAUAUUUUGACGGGAAAAAUAAUCAUCUUUAAGACAAAAAAGAAAAAGAAAUAAGACCUGUAGAAUAUUAUUCCUCGUGAGGUAUAUAAUUACAUAUGCAAGUGGUAAAUUGUCUUGAUGAAUAAAGUCUUUCUCUUUGACCAACGAAGAGUAAGCUCUGUUUACUCUGAUACAUAAUUUAUCUUCUAGAUGACUACUCAUUCAUCUCACAAUGUGUAUUUCAGAGGACCUUAUAUGAGUUGUAUUUUUCAGGUUACUAACCAUCUCUCGCAAACAAGGUAUGUUCUUCAAGGUAUGUGGCAUAGAUGGGGUUAUGAUCUAAGUUAAGUUCUUUUAUAUGCCUUAUUUUAUAAAGGACUUCAAAUAUUUUCUUUAUGUAUGACAAAUGAUAACCACAAGCUAAUUGGCUCUUAGUUCAACUCAGUUUGCAAUUCUCACAUGGAUAUGUUUAUAUAAAUGUACGAAAGACCAUACGAAAAUGAAAGAACAGAAAGGAAAUGAUGUUAAAUACUUAGAAAAUAUCCAACUACAAAGUAAUAACUCAAAAGAAAUGAAAAAUAUAAGAGAUCAGGCAAGUUAAACCCAUUUGGGCAAACUUUCUUGCUAGUCGGGCAAGUUCGUGCACAUUGUUGAAGUGAUUUGAAAUAUUGUAGAAUGCAGAGAUUCAAAAAUUUUAUGAGUUGUGAGUUGAGUGCCAUUUUCUUCUUUCUUUAUGUUGUUAUAUAUGGAACAAACAUUUCUUCCGGUUUAAACCUUACACUCUUAGUAUAAUUAUGUAUGCUCCUAGUUGUUGAUGUGAAUACUAACAGAAGGAAAAAUAAAAUUUACAUUGCAACUUGAGCCUUUAUCCCCUCAAAAUUACCAAAAUGUCAUCAGAAAGUAGUUUUUCCUCUGUAAAACCGCAUGGGUUAAAUGUACAGUGUGACAGGGUGUUUGUCGCCCACAAUGCCACAUGUAAAGUAGUUUCAAAUCCUUGAGCUCAAUUACUGUUCACUUAUGUUGAAAUUAAAUAUCUAUUGGACAAGGAUUGUCUGCCCUCCUCCUCGUACCCUUCUUUUUUGUGUGGUCACGGUUAAGCUACGUCAACAUUUUAUAUUGUUUUUUUAUAGAUAUAAUAAAACAAAAAUGAAUAGUAAUAUAAAAUGUUAACGUGGCUUAACCGUGACCACACAAACAGGAGGGCAAACAAUCCUUGUCCAUAUCUAUUAGUACUUGAAUGAAAUAAAGGCAUUAGGCCUAAUAUAGGCCCAAACUUAUUCUGGAUCCAAACAUCUUGUUCAUUUUUUACCCUCCCAUAGACGAGAAAUUAUAGUGUAGUACAGUAAUACCUCGUCAUCCGUGAUAUUUCCUUUCGAAUUUCGCCAUGUGUUAUGUUUUUACACAAGUGGAAUUUAAUCUCAUUUUUAAUCUUUAAAUAAAUUUAAAAAUGAAAAGAAAAAAAGAAAAAAAGAACAAAAUAGAUCGUGUUCUUGAAGUUUUUGCCUCCUCCGGCCCAAUCUGGUAAUCCCCUUCCACACACCGCCGCAUCUCUUUUCUUCACGAUUUGGGGAUUAAACUCGAAAAUGAUCGGCAUCCGAAAGCGGUGUGAAGGCGUUUGGAAAUACAUUCAGCGUGGCUGAUGGGUUUGCUUGGCUGAGUCGGACUCAUCCAUUCAGCGUGGUUCUGGUUGAAUUUGGAGAGUUGGUAAAGAAGAAAACAGGAUUUGAUUUGAAGGUUAGACAAUUAGAUUCAAUUUUAGUUUCUGUAUGGUUGCGAAGAAAGUAUAACAUUACAAGUUACUGGGAAGUGCAAGGCUAAUUCUUUUGUUUUGAAAUUUCCGUGACUGAUGAGGAAAUCAUCAGAAAAUUUUGGAACAGCAGCCAUGGCGGAAACUGGGUGGGGCUGUGCCGUGGAAGGAGGCGCAAAGGCAUCUAGGCUUUUGUUUCCUUUUAAAUUUUCAUUUUUUUAUUUAUCAAGAGUGAGAUUGAGAUUCAAUUCCUGCUGUAUAAAAGUGGUCGAACGUUUGCAAUUUGUACUUGUAUUUAUGUUUUGGGGAUGAAGUUGAACCAUCACUGUCUGCAAUUUGUUUUGGGGAUGGACCAUCCUUUUUGUCUUAUAUCUCUUGACUCACUACCGUCUUUGUAGGUCUGGAGAUGUAGAAAAGUAAUUUGCAGUAAAUAUCUUUACUAAUGUGUGUAUAAAUAACACUCUAAAUUACUCAUUCCUCACACCAAUCACCUACUUGAUAUCUACAUGGAUAGAGUCAUGAGACUUGUUCCAAUACUCAGCUUUCUUCUAUCCAUUGCGUCUUUUACACUCAGCUUAUGCAAUGGAAACCCGAAUGUGCCUUGCCGAGAAAAUGAGAGACAAACACUUCUUAUGUUCAAGAAAGAUCUCAAUGAUUCUUCAAAUCUGCUUUCCUCUUGGGUUGCUGAAGGCGAUUGUUGCACCUGGACCGGUGUUGCCUGCGACAAUUUAACCGGUCAUGUCCGUGAGCUCCACCUUGCUGGUUAUUAUGAUGACGUGGCUGGUGAGGACCGUAAGCUGGGUGGUAAGGUAAAUCCUUCUCUACUCAAUUUAAAGCAUCUCACCUACUUGGACUUGAGCUACAAUGAUUUUGGAGGACGACAGUUUCCUAGCUUUCUGGGUUCUCUUGAAGGUUUAAGAUAUCUUAACCUCUCGUUUGCAUGGUUCAACGGAACCAUUCCUCAUCAGUUGGGAAAUCUCUCGAGCCUGCGUUAUCUGGACCUUUCUGAUAACUAUGGUUCGAAGGUCGAGAAUCUCAAAUGGCUCUUUGGUCUUUCUCAGUUGAAACAUCUUGACAUGAGUUAUGUAGAUCUUACCAACGCAUCUCAUUGGUUACAAGUAAACACACUCCCUUCUCUGCUGGUCGAGUUACAUUUGUUUGAUUGUGAACUUUAUCACAUGCCAAGUGGUAUUGCGAACUUGACAAGUCUUAAAGUUCUUGAUCUGUCCUACAACUAUUUCAACUCUACCAUACCGCAAUGGUUACAAGUAAACACACUCCCUUCUCUCCUGGUCGAGUUGCACUUGUCGGAUUGCAAUCUUUAUCACAUACCAAGUGGUAUUGCGAACUUGACAAGUCUUAAAGUUCUUGAUCUAUCCAUAAACUAUUUCAACUCUACCAUACCUCAAUGGUUGUACAGUUUGAACCAUCUUGAGUCCCUUGAUCUUUCUGUCAAUGCUUUCCAUGGUGAGAUUUCGAGUUCCCUUGGAAACUUGACAGCCCUUGUUGAUCUUCAAUUACAUCAUAAUCAGCUUGAAGGGGAAAUCCCAAACUCAUUGGGAAAUCUUUGUAAGUUGACUUCUUUUGAUCUAUGGUCAAACAAUUUCCGGGGGAGGGUAUCAGAAAUCUUUGAAAUUUUGUCUAGCUGUAGUAAUUUUGGUCAAAUAGAUUAUUUACAUCUUUCGGAUAAUAAUUUUUCAGGUCAUUUAUCUGAUCAACUGGGAUUUUUAAAAAAUUUACGCAUCCUUGAUCUUUCAAAUAAUUCAAUAUCGGGCCCCAUUCCAGUGUCUUUAGGAAAUCUAUCACGUUUAGAGGAGUUGAUCAUUUCUGACAAUUCAUUCGAAGGCCCCAUUCCAGUAUCUUUAGGAAAUCUAUCAAGUUUAGAGGUGUUGAUCAUUUCUGACAAUUCAUUCGAGGGGGUUGUCUCUGAAGCUCAUUUUACUAAUCUUACAAGCUUGUUUACCUUUUAUGCAAAUGAGAACUCCUUGACUCUUAAAACUAGCCCAGACUGGGUUCCUCCUUUUCAACUUUCUACGUUGGGUUUAAGUUCUUGGCGUCUGGACCCAUCACAGUUGCCUGCAUGGCUUCAGAGUCAAAAACAUUUGUUCGCUCUUAAUAUGUCCAAUACAGGAAUUUCUGGUACCAUUCCGGCUUGGUUGUGGAACAUUUUUUCUGUUGAAAACAUGGGUCCAGGUAUCUUUGUGGAUCUCUCUCAUAAUCAAUUGUCCGGGGAGGUUCCAAAUAUAGCUUCUACCCACAGGCCAAAACAAAAGCAUUUGGAAUUUGUUUAUCUUGCCAUUGACUUAGGAUCUAACCAAUUCAACGGUUCAUUGCCUCUUGUGUCUUCGACAGUGAUUGCACUAGAUCUUUCCAAUUCAUUAUUUUCUGGAACUCUCUCUCACUUCUUUUGUGAUAGGAGUGAUGUACCUAAAAACCUUCAAACUCUUCUUCUUGACAACAAUCUCCUCACUGGAGAAAUUCCGGAUUGUCGGUUACACUGGCCAAACUUGACAGUAGUGAAUUUAGAAGACAACAAUUUGACGGGGAAAAUUCCAAGCUCUAUCGGGGACUUACUUUCCCUUCAAUCAUUGCACUUGCGCAAUAAUAACCUAUAUGGAGAAUUACCCGUGUCCCUACAAAACUGUCAAGAGUUGCUCCUUCUUGACCUUCUUGGAAAUAAGUUUGUUGGAAGCAUUCCGAUAUGGUUUGGCCAAAGCUUGGUGGUUCUUAUUCUUCGCUCAAAUAUGUUCCAAGGCACCAUUCCUCAUGAACUUUGUAGUCUCACAAAGCUCCAAAUCUUGGACCUUGCGCAUAACAAUCUCUCGGGAACGAUACCAAGAUGUUUCCAAAAUUUGUCAUCCAUGGCCACUAAAUUUUCAAGUGAAGAAGCUCCCAGUAUUGAAUUCUCCGUUUCUUCGGUUACUGGUAUGAAUACUUUUCAGCUCUCCUACUCCUACACAGAGAAUGCGGUUUUUGUGGCCAAAGGCAGAGAAGUGAAAUAUGACACAGUGCUUCGUUUGGUAACUAGCUUGGACCUUUCAAGGAACAUGUUAUUUGGAGAAAUCCCUGAAGAGUUGACCAACCUCACUAGCCUACAAACAUUGAAUUUAUCUGAUAAUCUUCUGGCCGGAAGAAUCCCUUCCAAAAUCGGUGAUAUGGGAGCGUUAGAGACGCUUGAUUUGUCUGUGAACCAACUUUCUGGCGAAAUUUCUCCAAGCAUCUCGAAUUUAACAUUUCUCAAUCAUCUAAAUUUGUCCUAUAACAAUCUGAUUGGGCAAAUUCCAAAAAGCACUCAGCUUCAGACCUUUGAUUUGUCCAGUUAUGUUGGCAAUAAACUUUGCGGACCUCCACUGGAAGAGCGUUGCAGUACAAAUGAGGCCAUGCCACCAGUAGGUGAUGAGAAGCAGAGAGAAGGUCAUUUUCUUGAAGACGGUGGUUUCUAUCUGAGUUUGGGGCUUGGUUUUGCAUUUGGGUUUUGGAUUGUUCUUGGUUCAUUGUUGUCUAAUGUGCCAUGGAGCAAUGCAAUUUCUCAGUUCCAAAAUCGCAUUGUGAAGAAGUUUUAUGCGGCAAUCGCUGAACGUUAUUAACUAUUUUGUGCAGAUAAAUCGAGUAUGUGUGAUUUGUUUCUACUCUUUUGCUAUCCAAUUAGAAUGUUACACUGUUGUAUGCUUCUUUGUACCAAUUUAUUUUAUCUUUUCCUUGGUUUUUUCUUUGGCCAUAUAAAAUUGUAAGAUUUGCUUUAUAAUUUCUGUGAUAAUUUUUAAAUUUAUUUUGUGAGUAUAUGAUAUGUUAAUCUUAUGUUGAUUCACACAGUUGUAUUCCUCUUUAGUAUGUUUGAUUUUCUAUUGGAAAGCAAGAUUUAAUUUCAACUAGAAAUUACGCCCGCGCGUUGCUGCGGGAACCAGCUGUUUCAGAUGUAAUCAGAUGGAUAAAACACAUUUAAAUUGAAUAAAUUCAAGACAAUUACGAACAAACAGAGGGAUACAUGAGUGGGUGAGGCCGGUAAGAUAAGCAGUUUUGCUUUUAACACAUUUAAGUGAGUUGGCAUAUAAACAUAUUAUAUGGGAAAGUGUCUAAUUAACAACUACUAAUCAAACUGCAAAAGCAACAUAUGAGUUUUUCUGGGUUCAAAGUUCAAACACAGAAUAGAACCAACAGAGUCAAAGGUCUUCAUAUGCAUUAUGAGAAAAAAAAACCUCAUUACGGUAUAAAAAAUCAUAACUUAAAGCUAAACCCAAAAAAGUAAGAGACAAACAAUUGAUGUUCCUUAUUAUGUCCAUCUAAGAGAUGGGCCAGUAAAAUUUGUGAAGAAACACCUGCUGGUUUGUCCAACAUGAGAAGAUAUAAAGUUCUCAUUGACGAUUCAUUACUUGAGUGGUUUAUUUAUUUAAGUGAUUUCUAUUUUGUUAAGAAAAUGAUACCGCCAUAAAAAAAAUGGAGUUUUAACGAAAAGUCCACGGUACUGUUCACUUUAACGAAAAACCACAUUUUUACACUAAAAAGUCAAACUUGAUACUAUUCAUUUUACCCUUUAUUUUGUCCUUAUCAUUAAAACUCCAAGUUUUCAAGCUCUUUUCAUUAGUUUUCCUUAAAAAAAAUAGAAAUACAUAACAGUUCAAUCAAAUCAUUUUUUUAUGUCCUAUACUAACUGGUUGAAGAUGCCCGAAUCAAAACAAAAUGGAUAUCUGCAAACUUGCUUGCUCUAAGGACAACGAUUUCCAACUUUAGUAGAAUCACAUCCAACUCUUAUCAAUUACUUCUGAAAUAGUAAAAAACCAUGAAAUUGUGCAGUCACUAAAGACCUAAAUACUGAAAUCACAAAAGAAAAACAACCCAAUUCAUAAAUUAAUGAUUGAAAGGAUAUAAUCCUACCUGAGGACCCUCAGAUCACUUGAAAGUGUAUCCCAAGUGUGAAGGCUGUCAGCGAAAUUGAACUCCUGCCAUUUUGAAUUUGAUAAAAGCAUUACUUGUGAAGUACGCGUUCGUGCAUGUCCUAUAGAUCUACCCGUUGUUGAUUGGAAAUUGAAAACUGAUAUUCGCAAGAAACAGCAGCUUAAUUACAGUAUUGAUUUCGAAGUCUGUAUAUUUUGUGGUUAAGAGGAGGGUGAUCCACUUAAAUGCAUAAAAUUGGGGAUUGACCUGUCAUUUAAAAUUUUAGCCCAGUCAGUCCUGUAUAAAGAAUUCUAGUGACCUAAAUAUGAUAUUCUCAAAUAACAUUGAAACCUUAACGUGUUAAAUAUUUAAGUAGCAUUUUACUAUUUAUAAGGCUGUCGACAGGUGACACAUAAUAAUUCUCGUCUUGGAAAAAUUAUUAAUUUUGAUCAAAUCUCUAAGGAGAUAGGUAAUAAGAAAGUGCUAGGAAGUCACUGGAUAAGCUUGAACCCCGGAACAAUCUAGCUAAAUAGUAUCCGGUGUCAUUCCAUGCCAUACCAAUGGCAUACUAAUGCAUGUAUCCUCUUCAAUUACAUUUACAUAAAUGUGUUGUGGCAUACUAUGUCAUGUUUUAUAUAAAUUUAAUCCUCCAAUUUAACACGGUCACCAAAAAAAUAUAUUGGAGAAUCAAAUUGAAAAAUCCAACAUAACCCAAAUUUACAUUAACAGACAAACAGAUGCUACAGUAAAGUAAAAGAGAGCCAAGAACGGAAUUUUACUUUAUCUAUGCCGAUAACCGUUUGCGAACGAAACAAAUACCAAUUGGAAUGCAAAAAAUAAUGAAGUGAAAUAAGCACAUGGAAGUGUUAUUUAUAAUGAAGUGAAAUUAUCCACUAUGGUUUAUUUGACAUAUGGAUAAUUUCGUCUAAGAAAGAGAAAUAAGUAGCGUCAAGCACAGUAAAUUACCAUCUGUUUGUAUCUCAAAAGUUCACAAGUGUCCAGUUGCCUCUUUGCUGGACCCAACUCUAUCCGUCUCACUCUACUUGCAAAGUUCAGUGAGCAAAAUGUCUCACUCACACCAUUUUCAUUAGGACUUAUUUGAACAAACAUGAGUGUCUUCGAGUCUCCUCCUAAAACAACGAAUGAUAUUCAUUAGUUUAAGUUUCAUCCAAGAAACCAGAGAAUAAAAUAAAAAAUAUGAACUUGGAAUAUUAAACAACUCAGAAUAAGAAUUGUUGAUUCUUCUGUGAUCCAAAUGAAGUACCUAGAGAGUCUUGAAGCAAGUGGGUAAGCUUCGAGUUCCUGCACAUAACACAUAAUUUAGUAAAAGAAAGUAAUAGCUGAAUACAUCAGGUGGCAACUUGGCCAAUAUAAACAAAGAACUAUUCAUUAAACAUAAAGGUAUGUGUGAGCUUUUAGUUGCAAGUGCAGAUAUGACAUCACCAAGGGAAGACAGAGACCUAUUUAUGUUUUGAGUUUCCUUGAGUCGUUCUCCUUGCAUUACUGCCAGUUUGCAGAACUUCCCAGACUUCACUCAUGUUGUUUACAUGUGCCUCAACCAGACCUGGAACAUGAUGUAUCCCCUCACCGAGUUGUCUUAUUUCUAGCCUACAAAUUAUCGCAAUACUGUGAAAUGCUAUUAUCUUGAAAUGAUCCCAUAACGUCCCAUCCUUCGCACUUGUGAAGACAUGGAACAUCAUGAGAACUGAACAGAAAGUCUCAUGUUUUAACAAUCAUGCAGCAUCCCACUCAUGGCAUAAUUGUUUGUGGGAUGACACAACUGGAGUCUAUUUCUACAGAACCCAUGAAACUAAACAAUCCAAAAUUAACAGAUUACACUGACAACAUUCCAACAAAAGAAAGAAGACCAAAAAUAUUAUGUAUUCUAAAGUAAUUUAGGGAGCUGAAAUAGCAAAAACCCACCUAAUUCUAAACCUAAGUAAAACCUUCAAUUAAACCCCAACUACAAACCUGAAUUAAACCUUCAAUUAAACUCCAAAUUAAACUAUUAAUAAAACCCAAAUUAAAUCAUCAAUCAGGAAAGAUAAAAAUACAAAAGGGGAUUUAAGAGGUGUACCUGGAGUGAGUGAGUGAGUGAGUGGGCGAGUGAUGCGGCGACUGUGAGAGUCUGAGAAUAACACAGAGAUGGGAUGUUUAGCACCAAACAAAAAAACUAUAAAAAAUUGUGUUCCUUCCAUACAGUACUACGCUUCUAGCAACAAAUAUAGAAUAAAGUACAAAUCUGAAAGAGUGCCGAAAUUACUGCAUACGGAAAGUCCACCAUUGUUGAACAUCUCCCUGCAAAGGUAUGUAUGAUAUAUAUGAUGCAUGCGUAUCAAAUAGCAUCAGCAUGUUUCUAAUUAGUAUGAUAGUCAGAUAGUCAGAUUGUUAGUUUAGGAGAAGAUUAUUGCCCAAUCAACAGGUAGAAUCAAAGUAUGAAUAUAUUCAGUUAAUAUUACAGUACAGAUUUUGCAUCCCAAGAUAUGUGGUUCUUAUAGAUUCAUGAAAUAAAUGUUGAGAGUAUCGCGUUUAAGAAUGGGAAAAGGCAUAUCUAAACUAAUUAAGGGUUACAUAUAUAUGGAUUUCAGACUCUUAAGAAGGUGAAAAGGCAGAAAACAAAAGAAUAAUGACUUCAAUUAAGAAUUUAGUAGUGUACAAACUAUCACAAACGAAAGGAGCAACAUUUGAUUUCAAAAAGAUUUCAGGGAUAAUAAAACCCAUUGAGGGAACACAUAUACAGGUUAAAAGGGCAUAAGCGAUGGCACAACAUGAGUCCGUAACAUCAUUCAGAAGUCAAUCAUAUGACAAACUACAAACCUAAUUAAAUCCAAAAACAUGAAAAUGAAAAUCGCAAACACAGCAAAUCCAUUAGUUAAUUGUCCAGUCCCCCAAUUUAACUAUUGUUACAUGCAUGCGAUCAAAUUAGACCUGGGAAGUGGGAAACAUGCAUAAUCAUUAAGCACUGAGUUGAUUGCAGGGCAAGCAAGCAUCAAAUUAGAAUCACUAUAUAACAUCGUUAAUUUAAACCAAUUUUAAAUGACUAAAACCUUUCCUCCAUACAUCUUAAUAAAUUAAGUUUUUUUUUAUAUUUCUGGUGUAUUUUGAUUUUCCCUCUCUUUGUAUGAUUUGAGCUCUAGUAGAACAUGCUUUGUUAUACAUUAGAUAAGUCUGCUAAAAAAGAGGAGGCUAGAGCCUAGAAACACUUAUAAAGAAGAUAUUUCAUAACGUUUCCAUGUUGAGCUAUGACCAAGGCAGAGUUAGACUCAUAUCAGGAUCACUACAGGUUCUGGGAAAGGAUUGCCAAAAGAAUGCACGCAUAACUUCUCCUACAAUUACCUAAGCAUCCUAUUAAUAUACUUAACAUGGUACACAGACUUUACAAUCAAGAAAACGAAGAAUGCAACAGUUGUAAGGUCUUGUUUCUUAUCAAAAUAGAUCCCUCUUAAGAAAUGGACUUAUAUGCACUAAAUUUGAAUACUAAUCAGGAGAUACAUAUGAAUAGAGUUACAAAGGUCCUAAAUCCUUAUCCCAUGACCCCAUUUUCUUUCCCAAAAUUUCCAGCCAACCAAACAGACGCCAACCUAACCCUAAUCAGCAAAUUUCUCAAUCAAACACCACUCAAUCACCCAUCAAAAACCAAGGAAAUUCAAGAAAAACGAAGAAUGCAAUAGUUGUAAGGUCUUGUUUCUUAUCAAAAUAGAUCCCUCUUAAGAAAGGGAAUGAGACAAUUCUGAGAGGCAACUGCUGGGUAAGAGUACAAAAUUGCAUGCCUUCCAUUUUAAAGUUCAAAAUUUUCAUUUCUAUUCUGAAGAUCAAUAUUAUGUAUCUUCUCAUUUUUUCAUGCAUUUAGAUACCUUUUGAGAGAAAGUCCCAUGCUAUUUUAUUUCCAUUUUGUGGUGUUCUAAUCUUUCAAAAGUACUCCACACAUGCAACGCUUCUUCAAAAGUGGAAAAAGCAGGGAAACCACGCACGCAGUCUGAUUUUAAAGUAAGUUUGAAAGUCAUUAUACCUCCUGUUAGUUUAUCCUAUCCUCACUUGGGCUCCAUAUGGAAAGAUUUUCUUGACAGUUCCUUCUACAAGCGUUCCCUCCUUAAGGUAUAACAGUUCCUAAAACAUUAUAUGGCAAACCAAUGUCAGUUCUUAUGAAAAAUAAGAUCACAGAAUCUCAGAACAAACAAGGAGAGAACAUUGCAAGCAACAAAAAACAUGAAUAAAUCAAAUGUCGAAGUCCAACCGACCCAAGCUUCUUUCUCACUCAAUACUAAGUCAUUCUUAGCUUCGUCUAUUUGAGUAAUCUGCACAUGCAUCCGGCAACUCACCUACACCAUUAGGAAACAACAUGUGUAAGAAGCAAACUAACAAAUCAAACAUAUGCAACUAAGGGAGGAAAAGGUUAAACAAUGAAAAGUUGUUAGUUGAGGUAAAUCAUACUCCACAAUGAAAAUUAGUAAAGAUUAAAGUACAAAACAAUUGAGGUAAAUCAUAUACUCCAGAACGAAAAAAUUUAAGAAAUACAAACUUAAAAUAUUACCCAUCACGCUAGCCGCUUCUUCUAACCCACCAAUUGCUAAAUGUUAAAUUUCUUGAACUACACAACCUAUGACAAAUACCUGAACAGUAAGGGUGCGUUUGGUACGUGGGACGGGACGGGACGGAACGGAACGAGGCGUUCCGUCCCGCGUUUGGUGCGCUAAAAAUGGGUGGAACGGGUUGUUCCACGGGACAGAUUUUGGGUGUUUUUGCGUUCCACCUCUCCCCCCUGGAACGGGUUUGUUCCACGUCUGUGGAACACAAUGUUUUACCAUUUUAAGACAAAUAUACCCCAUGUCUUUUUCAAAAAUUACACCUUCGUUCCGUCCCGUCCCGUUCCGUUCCGUCCCGUCCCGUCCCGUUCCGUUCCGUCCCGUCCGCGUACCAAACGCACCCUAAGAGAACAAUGGACAUUCAUUGUACUCAAUCUGCAUUUAUCCCAGAACCAAGAAAGUUAUGAAGAAACAGAAAUGAAACUGUACAGCAGGUAUACAGCAGGGAACAAACACUAUGAAACUGGCACUCAAGUACUGUAAGGAAUAUCAGAUUAGCAUUCAUCUAACCAGAUCUUCUAGCUACUAACAAUUAGUUGUUAAAACCCUAACACUAAUCAAGCGAUCCUACACAUAUAUCUAGCUUUCUUCGCAUCCUGCCAGUAAUAAAUUGCAUUCAAGCGCGUAGUAGCAGCUUGCACAAAUAAACAGUUUAAGUAUGAUAAACAGAAAAAGGAAACGGAAACAUGAAAACAAAUGGAAUAAGCAGUGUCAUAAAGAUGCGAUAUCUGACCAUGUAAAUAAGUGUUCUUGAGUGACAUUACCAGUAGAUCAGUGAGUUCACGAUAGAGCUUCUCUAGCUCCAUGUGUUCCUGCAAAAUGGAAAAUAUAACCCAUAAAUAACAUAGUGCUCAAUAUAACCUAGUAAAACUCUUCAUAUGAAGAUAUACAAAAGGAGAGGAAGCAGAUAUCACUUGGCGCAAGGAAUGCUCUGCAUCCCUCUUCAUGGAAGCCAUCUCAACUCUCAUUUUUUGGACUUCGGCCUGAAAUCGAGCAUUUCAAGGAGGUUGUUUGACAAAGCAAAAAAUUCAGAACGCAAAGCUUCAAAUUGAUAAUAACAACACUGUUGGGCAAUAAACAGAGGGCACUUACCUCAAAGAAGAAAGCUUGACCUAUGCAUCCCUCUGACCUUGGCGUGCACGGUCCACUUCUUCCUCCCAUGCCAUAGUCGUACACUAAUCCAAAUUAUACAAUCCUCAACUACGCACUUCCCUUGACUUCUCCAAUCAGAUUAUGGUCAGUCAUUCACUUUCGACAUAUCAAUAGAGCAUGACCAAUCUAGUUCACCCCAAUAGUUCCUCUUCCUGUAUAGGAUAAUGCAUGAUAAUAAUAUGGCAACAUGAAAUUGCCCUCAAUUUUUUCUAAAUUUACUACCUUCUUCAACCAAAUAAAACCUAUUGUCUCCUCAAAUAUCAUAAGAUUAACAAUUAAAUGUUCAAACUUCAACUUCCCCUAUAUUCCCUUCCUCUUUACGCAGUAACCCAAUUGAAAAUUUGAAACCUCCCAUCCGAAAUACAAAACCAAAAAAAAAAAUCAGAAAGGAAACAAUACGUGCACAUAGCAAAUUUGAUUAAAAUACAGAAACGAAUCACAAAUUCCCACUUAAAACAAAAUUAGAAGAGAUGGCAAUCUAUAAAAAUCAAUAAACAAAAAAUUGAGCAAAAGGGUAGUGAAAACUCACCUCCAUCUUCGAGAUUUUCCUGCCUAAACUGCUAGGGAACGUGGUCCGAAGCUUUAGCAUAAGCAGACUUGAAGUGUCUCUGAGCUUUCAAUCUUCCGGAAGAGAGAGGUGGUGCAGCGACGACCUUGGUGCCGUGAAGGAAGGUAGGCGCGGUGGCGGAAAUAGAGAGGAGUUCGGCGGAGGAGGGGAUCACAGCCGUCGGAAUUGUGGUGGCGUCGACUGUGAUUAUGGUUUUGACUUCGGGCAACUGUCGGAAGAAGAGGGAGGGAGUCGAACCCUAGAUCGGUGGCGGUUCGGCUGGUGUAGCGAGACCCCCGGUUGUAGAAAAGCUCCGAAGCGCUCGUCAUACACACCAAACGCCUUGUUUUUUCACCUUGUCCUCCUCGAAACGUGUCUAUUUGUGUCGGAUUUUUUGACGAAUUUACAGUGAUGGAUGGUUACAGAAAGAGUCGGAGAGGAAAAGAGGGAAAGAAAAGGGGAUGGAAACGGAGUCGAAGCAAUGCAAGACGAUUGACACGUUGGCGCCCUUCCAUUGUGCAAAACGGUGGCACUUUUGUAAAUAAAUUGAAAUUAUCAAUCUGAACGGCAGGCCGAGGCGAUGGUAAUUUUGUAAAUAACUCAAAAUCCAUCUCAAAUGAAUAGUGCCAAUUGAAGGAAUUGGAUUUCCUCCUGAACAAAUGAUGGGAUCUCUCAUGAUCACACAACACGGAUCGUUGAAUAUAAUUAUUAUAAUUUUUAGAACAAUCUCCUAUUUGUAGCCGUUAGAUCAAAAUCUAACGAUCUGUGUUGUGUGGUCAUGAAGAUCCCCACCAAUUGUUCAGGAGGAGAUCCAAUUCCCCAAUUGAAAACGUUACUUUAUACUAAAGUAAUAUUAUAACAAUAAUAAUAUUUUUUCUUCCAACGAUUAGGACCUUAAACCGAAAUUAGGUUCUCGAAAAACAGCUCCACUCCAGUUGGCUUGAAUAUGACCCAAAAAGAUAUACCCCAUUGUGAAGAGUGAGGAGAAAAAAAAUUUCUAGUUUGAACACAUUAAGUCCUGCUCGCCCGCACAAAUAAGUUCUUCGAAAUUCUCUCGUUUCUCUCCAGCAACAAAACCCAAAAUUGGCUAGCACACUCACAUUUCCUUCGCAACACUAUCUCAGUCGUAGCUUUAGAACUGUAGAACAAUGGAGACACGGGACUUUCACUGUUAUCCUCAGCUUUAGAACAUUAUACACCAUCAUGGAGACAAACGGGCGCGUAUUCUUGUCCUUAUAGUCAUAUCAUAGGUUUUGACCCUCCAUGAGAAACCAAUGAAGCAGCUAACCAAGAAAAAACUAAACCAAUAAAGAGAGAUGGAUUGUUACAUAAAACGAGAAGCUGCCGCAUGGUUAUAAACUCCAUCUUCUACAUCUGAUCUAACCAGAUACAAAUGUAAAUGCUUCGACAAAGACAACCAAGAAGCAGUGGCGGAUCCAGACUUUUAUCAUUGGGUGGUCCCAGUAUUGGAGUUGAACGGGAAGAGUUCGGAUCUCUCCCAUCAAAAGCCACGAUCAAGUGAUCCGGACCGUUGAAAUUUGAUCCAACGGUUACAAACAGGGGGCUCUUCUAAAAGUUAUAAUAAUUGUAGCCGUUUGAUUAAAUUUCAACGGUCCGGAUCAUUUGUUCUUGGGCCUUUGAUGGGAGAGAUCCGGACCCGAUCUCUUCCCGAGUUGUACUAUUUGAAAUAACAUUGUUUAAACUAAUCGAGUAUGAUUUUCAUGUAUUAUGUCGUACCAUGUUCUUAAUUUCUACACAUUCAAUUAUUAAAACAAAAAUUCAUAUAAAUUAAUGGAGAUAAAAACAUAUGUAUAUUUGUUGAAAAACAAAACAUAUAUAUAGAAAUUAACCAUCACAUGAUCAAAUCAAUAUAAAAAAAUCAUAUAUUACAAUCCAAGCACUAACUAGUAUAUAUUAGGAAUCUAACAAUUUUAUCCGAUACACAUCAAUUUAAUAGCAUUCUAUUUUGGACUAAAAUUAGAAAACUUAUUUAAAUUUAGACAUUAGGACAGUAUUAAAAUAACAAAAAUAAAAUUAAGAAAUGAAGCGGUGUUUGAGAGGAGAGAGGUGGACAGGUGAUGGCUUGGUCAUAUGCGGUUAGAACGAAAAAGGAAACUGGGGAGAGAGGAAAAAGGGAUUGGGCAUUGGGAUUACCGAUUAGGGUCUCUUAUAUAAAAUAUUAAAAUGGGAAUUGGGCUCACACAUUCAUUUUAAUUGUAUUGGACUCAAACGGUGCGUUUUGGCCGAUUCAGUUUAACAAGAAAACAACCUUCUUCUUUCUUUUUCAUCUGCAGUCUGCAGAGAGUCACCGCUGCAUAUCUCCCCUCCGCAAAACUCCAGGCCGUUGGGUGGUCCUGAGACCACCCUAGUCCCUGAAUGGAUCCGCCUCUGCCGUUGGGUGGUCCUGGGACCACCCUAGUCCCUGAAUGGAUCCGCCUCUGCCAAGAAGUGAGCUCCCCCAAUUUCCAAAUCAUUCAAAUCUUUCCUGAAACCAUCUCAGCUCAAUGGAAUGGAAGUUCUUACAAAUCUAGAAAUGGGACUCUUAUCCGUGAAAAUUCUAUUUUUGAAGGGCUUAGACUCGAUCUCCUCACAACAGAAUUUGCAUCCCAUCUGUGUUUAUGUAACCCAUACUGGUUUUCAAUAUAAACAUUCAUAAAGGAUCCCUUUCUUAAGGAAAUAGCGGUUGACGCUUAGCUAGAAGAUAUACUUAUUUUCCACCUUCAUCUAGUUAAGUUGAAUUAUCACUUAUUAAGUUAUUGUGCCAAUUUUUUUCAACUCCUGAAUUCAGGACUCGGUUUGAUUGCAGUAUUGGGUGUAUUUUUAUUCAUGCGUUAAACAUCUACAUUUUGUGUUCGUAGUAGAUUCUCUUCUAACUAGGGAUUAUCAAUUUUUCGUCAUUGAAACUUAGUUUAAGAUUUUUUUUUCUUAUGAUUUCAUCACUUUUACUUCAGCAUGCUAGUCGUCACAACUUCUGGAAUUGGGUUUAUUCAUGGAAGUGGCCAUGCCAUUGAUUUUGCUGGACUUUGUUGCACAUGUGCUGGUACCAUGAUGGUUGCAGCAUCUGCUAAUUCCUUAAAUCAGGUUUGUGUGCCCCUUGUUAUUCGGCUCUUUUUGGGCCUGGCUUAUUGUGUAGAUGAAAAUAUUUUUUGAAUGGCACGGUCUUUUGUAAUGGUGAAAGGUAUAGAAAAGCGAAGCAAGAGGCGAAGAAAGCUGUCAGAGAAGCUAAGUUAGCGGCUUACGACGAUAUGUAUAAACGACUAGAUACCAAAGAAGGAGAGUUAGAUAUCUAUAAACUAUCUAGAGCAAGGGAAAAGAAGACAAGGGACCUAAACCAAGUGAGGUGCAUCAAGGAUGAGGAUGGAAAGGUUCUUGCUACAGAGAACGCGGUUAAAGACAGAUGGAGAGGUUAUUUUCAUAAUCUUUUCAAUGAAGGACAUGAAAUGAGUGCUUCUUUAGGGGAGUUGAGUAACUCAGAAGAGUGUAGAAACUACUCUUUUUAUCGUCGAAUCCGGAAGGAAGAAGUGGUUGUAGCUUUGAAGAAGAUGAAGCAUAGAAAAGCAAUAGGCCCAGACGAUAUACCAAUCGAAGUGUGGAAACUUUUGGGAGAGACAGGUAUAACAUGGCUCACUGACCUUUUCAAUAGGAUUUUGAAAACGAAGAAGAUGCCAAAUGAGUGGCGAAUGAGCACUUUGGUGCCUAUCUACAAGAAUAAGGGCGACGUACAAAAUUGCAUGAACUAUAGGGGUAUUAAGCUAAUGAGUCAUACAAUGAAGCUCUGGGAGAGAGUCAUUGAGCAUAGAUUGAGGCAAGAGACACGGGUUUCGGACAACCAAUUCGGGUUCAUGCUAGGGCGCUCAACCAUGGAGGCAAUCUAUCUCUUACGAAGAUUGAUGGAAAGAUAUAGAGAUGGGAAAAAGGAUUUACACAUGGUCUUUAUAGAUUUGGAAAAAGCGUAUGAUAUAGGGUCCCAAGAGACAUUCUUUUGGAGGAUUUUAGAGAAGAAAGGAGUACGAGUAGCAUAUAUCCAAGCUAUAAAGGAUAUGUAUGAAGGAGCAAAGACUGCCGUAAGAAAACUCAUGAAGGACAAACCGAAAGCUUUCCCAUAACUGUAGGAUUACAUCAAGGCUCAUCCUUAAGUCCUUACCUUUUUGCGUUGGUAAUGGAUGAGUUUAACACGACAUAUUCAAGAUGAUAUUCCUUGGUGUAUGCUUUUCGCAGACGAUAUAGUGUUGAUAGAUGAAACUCAGGAAGGGGUAAAUGCAAAGCUUAACCUUUGGAGAGAAGUGUUGGAAUCUAAAGGUCUUCGCCUAAGCCGAUCAAAGACAGAAGAUAUAAUGGAGUGCAAGUUCAGUGCAAAUGGAGGCCAAAACGAGUUAGGGUGAGGAUCGGAGAUCAAGAAAUACCAAAGAGCGACCGUUUUCGUUACCUAGGAUCUAUCUUGCAAAAGAAUGGAGAAUUAGAUGGAGAUCUCAACCAUAGAAUACAAGCUGGAUGGAUGAAGUGGAAGAGUGCAUCCGGCGUGUUGUGUGACCGCCGUAUGCCACUGAAGCUCAAGGGAAAAUUUUAUAGGACGGCAAUAAGGCCGGGCGAUGCUGUAUGGCACAGAAUGUUGGGCGGUGAAACAUCAACACGUACACAAAUGGGUGUAGCGGAGAUGAGGAUGCUUCGUUGAAUGUGUGGGCACACGAGAAAGGAUAAGAUUAGGAAUGAGGAUAUCCGGGGGGUAAAGUAGGAGUAGCCGAAAUUGAAGGAAAGAUGAGAGAAAAUCGGUUACGGUGGUUUGGACAUGUGCAAAGAAGGCCUACUGACGUUCCGAUUAGAAGAUGCGACUAUGGGACAGAGGUUCAGGGCCGAAGGGGUAGAGGAAGACCUAGGGAAACUUUGGAAGAGACUCUAAGAAAAGACUUAGAGUACUUGGAUCUAACGAAGGACAUGACACAGGAUCGAGCACAAUGGCGUUCUAAGAUUCAUAUAGCCGAUCCCACUCAGUGACUUGGAUUUUCCAAGUCUCCAACCGAGAAGUUUUCCUCACUCGGGAAAUUAAGGGAACACUACCCCAACCUACAUGCUCCACUCAGAAAGCUUCAACAUACAAGCUUUAACAAAAGAAAAUUCAAAGAACUUAGCGAAGAAGGCUUUGGUGUAUUUAACACAAUACGUUGAAAUGAAGGAAAGCUUAUUUAUUGAUAUCCCCGAUAAGCUACAAAUAUGUACAUAUACAUGAGUCAAAAUAAGCACACAAGAGGGAGCCUUCACAAAGGUUGCUUAGGAGAAGUCUCAGCAGUCGGUAGAACCCCAGAAAGAGAAGGCACCGGAGGAGGAUCAUUUGGAGCCUCAGUACUGGACAGAACCCUAGAAGGAGGAGGCAUCAGAGGUUGAUCAUUUGGAGCUUCAUUACGCGGUACAGCUCCAGAAGACGAAGGCAAUAAAUGCCUUUGGAACAAACCCACAAAUCUCUGAUGAUCAAGUAAAACCUGACCAUCAGUUUCCUUCAUCUGGUCAAGCUUCCUCUUCAUGUUUGUAGCAUAGUCAUGUGCGAGCCGGUGCAACUGUUUAUUCUCAUGCUUGAGCCCUCUAAUCUCCUGUUUGAGACUCAUCACUUCAGCCGCCAAUGAUUCAACUUGGCGGGUUCGAGCAAAUAGGCGUUGGGCCAUAUUAGCCACAGAACCUGCACACUGAACACUGAGAGCCAGCGAAUCCUUAACAGCUAACUCAUCAGACCGUUUGGAAAGUAGUCUGUUAUCUUUGGGAGUGAGAAGGUUCCUGGCCACCACCGCAGCGGUCAUAUCAUUCUUCAUCACGGAAUCCCCAACGGUAAGAGGACCAGUAGGGGAGACGAAGGAUGGGCGCCAUAUGUUGUCUGGAGAAGGCGGGGCUGCCUCUUCAACAAGGUUCAAGUCAAAACGACGGUCGGAGGGGCCAGACAUUUUCAAAGGUGUUGAAGAGAGAAGAGGUCGGACAAAUCAAGAUCUUAGAAGUGCAAGAAUGAAGCUUCUACUGGUGGAGAUUCAAGUGUGCUUUGGAACUUAAUGCCAGCCCCUAUAAAAAUCUGCACUCGACGAAGCUUCAGAAAUCGAAGAGGCGCCUGCUCAGAAAUCGAAGAGGCGUUUGCUUUCUCAAAAGCUGGGCUGCUAAGAGAUCACGAGGGUUGAUCUCAGAAAUCGAAGAGGCGUUUGCUUUCUCAAAAGUUGGGCUGCUCAAAGACCACGAAGGCCGAUCUCAAAAAAUCGAAGAGGCGCUCGCUUUCUCAAAAGCUGGGCUCCCUAGAGACCACGAAGGCCGAUCUCAGAAAUCGAAGAGGCACCUACUUUUCCAGCCUUUUCCAGCCUUGUCAGCACCUGUCACGCGCACACUCAGUUUUGCGGAAAUUAUGGGCAUUCUGUCAAAGACUUUUGGGGAAGUAGAAAACACAUGAAUCUUACUGUUCAAUCACACCCACUUCCCACACGCAACAAUAGCUCAUGGGUACCACAGAUAACUUUGCCAAAGUUCUCUGCCAAAGUUGAGCACGUGAAGCUUGCAGCUCCCACUACAUCGCUCUGACCAAGAAGGGUAAAAGAAUAGCAAAGAAACAGCACUAACAAAGUUUAGACCCAUAAAUUUUGAAGGUCUAGCUACCAUAUUAUUACCCACAAGGGUAAAGGAACAGUACCACUGCUGGAUAAUUGGAAAGUCCCUGUGUGUCAACCUCUGUGCUUCGUGGCAAGGUAGACUAGCAAACAUGCCCAAACUUUACUCACAUUCGAGAAAACACUUCCAAUAAGAUUGCUUGCUCCAAAAUCGAAGAGGCACCGUCCUCCAAAUCUUGAGAGCCAGACUCCAAACAUGACUACUUUCUUAAAAAUCGAAAAGAGGGUAAAGGAACAGUACCAUUGCUGGAUAAUUGGAAAGUCCCUGUGUGUCAACCUCUGUGCUUCGUGGCAAGGUAGACUAGCAAACAUGCCCAACCUUUACUCACAUUCGAGAAAACACUCCCAACAAGAUUGCUUGCUCCAAAAUCGAAGAGGCACCGCCCUCCGAAUCUCGAGAGCCAGACUCCCAACAUGAUUACUUUCUCAAAAAUCGAAGAGAGACUGCUCCCCGAAUCUCGAGAGCCAGACCCCCAGCAUGAUUGCUUUCUCAAAAAUCGAUGAGGCAUCGUUCUCCGAAUCAAUCGAAGAGGCGCUCGCUUUCUCAAAAGCUGGGCUGCUCAGAGACCACGAGGGCCGAUCUCAGAAAUCGAAGAGGCACCUACUUUUCUAGCCUUGUCAGCACCUGUCACACGCACACUCAGCUUUGCAGAAAUUAUGGGCAUUCUGUCGAAGACUUCUGGGGAAGUAGAAAGCACAUGAAUCUUACUGUUCAAUCACCCACUUCCCACACGCAACAAUAGCUCAUGGGUACCACAAAUAACUUUGCCAAAGUUCUCUGCCAAAGUUGAGCACGUGAAGCUUGCAGCUCCCACUACAUCGCUCUGACCAAGAAAGGUAAAAGAAUAGCAAAGAAACAGCACUAACAAAAGUUUAGACACAUAAAUUUUGAAGGUCUAGCUACCAUAUUAUUACCCACAACUGUAAAAGGAACAGUACCACUGCUGGAUAAUUGGAAAAGUCCAUGUGUGUCAACCUCUGUGCUUCGUGGCAAGGUAGACUAGCAAACAUGCAAACACCCAACCUUUACUCACAUUCGAGAAAACACUCCCCCAAUAAGAUUGCUUGCUCCAAAAUCGAAGAGGCACCGUCCUCCGAAUCUCGAGAGCCAGACUCCCAAACAUGACUACUUUCUCAAAAUCGAAGAGAGGGUAAAGGAACAGUACCAUUGCUGGAUAAUUGGAAAGUCCCUGUGUGUCAACCUUUUGUGCUUCGUGGCAAGGUAGACUAGCAAACAUGCCCAACCUUUACUCACAUUCGAGACAACACUCCCAACAAGAUUGCUUGCUCCAAAAUCGAAGAGGCACCGCCCUCCGAAUUUCGAGAGCCAGACUCCCAACAUGAUUACUUCCUCAAAAAUCGAAGAGACACUGCUCUCCGAAUCUCGAGAGUCAUACCCCCAGCAUGAUUGCUUUCUCAAAAAUCGAAGAAGCAUCGUUCUCCGAAUCUCGAGAGCCAGAUACCACAGACCACUUUUUCAAAGUGCUCUGACAGAGUUAAAACAUGUGAAACUGGCAGCUCCCACUACCGUGCUAUGACCAAGCAGGGUAAAGGAAUAGCAUUACUACUUGUUGUUAGGGAGACUCCUAUAUAUGUCGACCUCCAUCCCCAACGGACAGGUAGACCUGCAAAAAUGCUCAACCCUUCAUCAGAUUUGAGAGGGCACUCCCAACGAAGCCUUUCGAAAUAUUCAGCUUUCUUUCCCCCCGAUAAUACCUCUGCAAACAAGCUAUACUAGAGCAAAAAUAUCUCAUAUAUCAUCAGGGUUAAAAGCAAGAGUAUCCCAUAUCAUGCUUUUUCCCUGUCUUUUUCUUUUGGCCUUGUUUUUACCUGCAAGAACAAGGAAAAAGAGAGCAAUCAGUCAGCACUUGGAAUCAAGCUUCCAGCCAGGAACUGACUGCCUGGAACCCCUUACCUGAUUACUUACCUGGCAUUGCUCUCGAGUACUCAUCUUCAACAUCUUAUGUUUCCAGGGAAGAUUCCGCAUCUGCUUGAGGAACAGAUAGGGUAAGUGCGAAGGAAGGAAGACAAGCAGCAUGUGGAGACAAGCGUAACAGCACACGUGCCGAUACAUUCAUUACUCUGUCAAAAGCAAAAGUAUCUUAUAUCAGCAGGGUGGAACGUACUCUAGAUUUGAUGGACUUGUUUUGACCCUCAAAUUCUUCAUUCGGCCUUAUACUCUGGAGGAAACCAGAAAACCCUCCAGCUCAGUUCAAGAAUAAGCCUGUGGAAAGUUACUUCUUCAAAAGCAAAAGUAUCUCAUAUCAUCUUCUCAUUUUUCUUCUCUUUAUCCUUCAUGCUGCUGGCAAGAAGGGAGGGAGCUCUGAUUGCUGAUUUACCUUGUCUGUCACCUUUCAUUGCAACCUUAGCUCGGCGACUUGAGGACUCCUACUGAGUCCUACUACAUGGUUUGUAUCGCGCGCGCUUGACCAAGCCUGAAACUACAAGUAAGCUUCAAGUGAAAUUGAUACAUUACCUUGUGCAUCUCCACCAGUUAAAGAUACCACCUGGAUGGAGGAAGAGUACUUCCAGAGAAGAUGCCACAUCUACCUAUGAGACAGAUAAGCAAGUUAAGACGACACCACACCGAAUACUUCAGAAAUUUCGUGAUUACGAGAUCAUUCUCCCAUAAUAUUUCCUAAUGUCAUUUGUACUAAAUCAUUCACUGUAUUUCACUUUAAAUACAAUGAGAGCUUGAACCUAUGUACUUGUGUAAACCCUUCACAAUUAAUGAGAACUUCUUCCUUCGUAAUUAUGACCAAUCUUUCUGAACUUUUCCGCUUAACAUAUCUUGGGUGAACCCGUAUCCAUCUAUACUUUCCUAAUACUUAUCCCCAGUUAAAUACUUAGCACAAUCUAGCGAGAUUCGAAAAGCAUAAAGCGAUCGUUUUCGCUACCUAGGAUCUAUCUUGCAAGAGAACGGAGAAUUAGAUGGAGAUCUCAACCAUAGAAUACGAGCUGGAUGGAAAGAGUGCAUCCGGCGUGUUGUGUGUGACCGUCGUAGGCCACUGAAGCUCCAAGGGAAAAUUUUAUAGGACGACAAUAAGGCUAGCGAUGUUGUAUGGCACAGAAUGUUGGGUGGUGAAGCAUCAAACGUACACAAAUGGAUGUACAGCAAAAUGGAUGUGAGGAGCUUCGAUGCGGGGUGGAUGUGUGGGCACACGAGAAAGGAUAAGAUUGGGAAUGAGGAUAUCCGAGGUAAAGUAGGAGUAGCCGAAAUUGUAGGAAAAGAUGAGAGAAAAUCGGCUCUGGUGAUUUUGGACAUGUGCAAAAAAAGGCCGACUGACGCUCGGUUCGAAGGUACCUGGUACGGGACAGAGGUUCAGGGCCGAAGGGGUAGAGGAAGACCUAGGACAACUUUGGAAGAGACUCUAGAAAAAAGACUUGCACUUAGAGUACAUGGCGCAAUGGGCGUUCUAGGAUUCAUAUAGCCGACCCCACUUAGUGGGAAAAGGCUUUGUUGUUGUUGUUGUUGUUGUAUUGCUUUGGCUGUUGAAAAGUUAUGCUUUCAAUUGACUCAUAGUAGCUUAAAUGUUAGUUGUUGCAAAAUAUUUUGGCAGCCCAAAACUGAUCAGGGUUUUACUUUAAAUAAAAACCAAGUUUGUUUUCCAAUAUCUAUUGAAAAGUACCCAUUGUACUGUACUAAAUAUUUUAUACACAUAACUUGCAUAUUCCCCCAGUAUCUUUUUCUCUCUGGUCUGAAAUUUUUUGUCAAUAUCUAUGGACUUAUCUCGUAGCUUCCACUUGUUUAACAGUAAAAUAGAACAGUAAAAUAGAUGUCUCUCUCGCCAAACACACACAUGUUUGCAUGUGUUUACACCUUGUAAUGGGACCAUUUCAAGUUGAUGAUCUUGAACCACCCCAUGCAGAGAUGGUUUUCUUUGCUUCACCAUCUGAUUGGUAUAGCACUCCUGUAGCAAAGGCCUGCACCACAAGGAGCACAAUUAUUGUUGAUCGGUUUGUCUUUGGUAUGUAUAUGGGAAGAUAUGUGACAAUUACUUACCUCUCUCUGAUAUCCCAUUUUAUCUGCCUCAUGGAUUUUUAGAAAUGAAGCUUCUAACGUAGCCACACACUGCCAAUCAACUUUGGUCUUAGGAUGUUGUUAUGGAU